This is a long non-coding RNA of Acinonyx jubatus (cheetah), 1042 nucleotides long. RefSeq lists it as uncharacterized. The transcript is spliced from 3 exons. NCBI's taxonomy places the organism in Eukaryota, Metazoa, Chordata, Mammalia, Carnivora, Felidae. The record is from RefSeq and is a predicted model, not a curated record.
CUGCCUAGGCUGGGGGCUGGGGGCGGUGCCACUCUGACAGCCAGCCCCUGCCCUCCAGGGAUGCCAGUCCAGUUUGGGAGAAAGACCAGCGAAUACGGAAUGAGAAACACGCAUAGGUGGCGCGCGGCUGGCAAGUGGCCCAGGCGGGGUGUGGAUCAAGGACGUCGGGCUCAAGCCAGAUCCCCUUCUGUGGGGCUGUGCUCUACGGCGCGGCUCGCUCCCUCACUUGGAGGUCCCCGGGGAACGUGUGGCACACUCAGCAUGUCCUGGAGGCUUGAGAGGAGAUCAGAGAGCGGCGCUCGUGGAUAUCUACGCGUUGUUUGCGUUAUUGUGAUAGAAAGCUACUCCACCUCCCCAAGUCUUCAAUGGCCUGUGAGACACAACAAAAUAAAAACACAGAAGAGGGAAUCAAACAGAUAAGAAUAAUUUUAAAAGCCCAGGCACGGGGCACCUGGGCGGCUCACUCACUAGAGCACGCAACUCUGUGUCUCGGGGUUGCGAGUUCCAGCCCCGCGUUGGGCACACAGAGGUUCCUUAAAAGAAAAAAAAAAGCACCCAGUCAUUUUUGAAAAAGAACCGUCGAAGUCGGGCGCCUGGGUGGCUAAGUCUGUUAAGUGUCUGACUUUGGCUCAGGUCAUGAUCUCUCGGUUCGUGAGUUCGAGCCCCACGUCGGGCUUUGUGCUGAUGGCUCAGAGCCUGGAGCAUAGAUUCUGUGUCUCCCUCUCUCUCUGCCCCUCCCCUGCUCGCGCUCUUUCUCGGUCUCUCUAUAAUAGACAUGAAAAAGCGUAGGAGUAACAAAACAUAGCCUUUGGAAUAAAAUCCGUCAACAGACGGAUGAAACCACAAACAGAUGCCACCGAAGAAAGAAUUACUGACCUGGAAGAUGGUCCUCAGAAAUCAUCUCCUGCCCCAUAUCCCCUCGUGGUGGAUAAGGUUGCUUCCGCCUUCCCUGAGAAAUUGUGGCAGCCCCUCCUCAGAGAUCCAGGCUCUGCCUCUUCCAGGCCCCUCAUCCUGGCGUCUAGGUGUCUGCUCAGCCCGACCU